GGGUGAGUAAUAUAUCGGAUCGUACCCAAGAGUGGGGGAUAACGUAGCGAAAGUUACGCUAAUACCGCAUACGAUCUAAGGAUGAAAGCAGGGGAUCUUCGGACCUUGUGCUCCUGGAGCGGCCGAUAUCUGAUUAGCUAGUUGGUGAGGUAAAGGCUCACCAAGGCGACGAUCAGUAGCUGGUCUGAGAGGACGACCAGCCACACUGGAACUGAGACACGGUCCAGACUCCUACGGGAGGCAGCAGUGGGGAAUUUUGGACAAUGGGCGCAAGCCUGAUCCAGCAAUGCCGCGUGAGUGAAGAAGGCCUUCGGGUUGUAAAGCUCUUUUGUCAGGGAAGAAACGGGAGAGGCUAAUAUCCUUUCCUAAUGACGGUACCUGAAGAAUAAGCACCGGCUAACUACGUGCCAGCAGCCGCGGUAAUACGUAGGGUGCAAGCGUUAAUCGGAAUUACUGGGCGUAAAGCGUGCGCAGGCGGUUUUGUAAGUCUGUCGUGAAAUCCCCGGGCUCAACCUGGGAAUUGCGAUGGAGACUGCAAGGCUAGAAUCUGGCAGAGGGGGGUAGAAUUCCACGUGUAGCAGUGAAAUGCGUAGAGAUGUGGAGGAACACCGAUGGCGAAGGCAGCCCCCUGGGUCAAGAUUGACGCUCAUGCACGAAAGCGUGGGGAGCAAACAGGAUUAGAUACCCUGGUAGUCCACGCCCUAAACGAUGUCUACUAGUUGUCGGGUUUUAAUUAACUUGGUAACGCAGCUAACGCGUGAAGUAGACCGCCUGGGGAGUACGGUCGCAAGAUUAAAACUCAAAGGAAUUGACGGGGACCCGCACAAGCGGUGGAUGAUGUGGAUUAAUUCGAUGCAACGCGAAAAACCUUACCUACCCUUGACAUGGAAGGAAUCCCGGAGAGAUUUGGGAGUGCUCGAAAGAGAACCUUCACACAGGUGCUGCAUGGCUGUCGUCAGCUCGUGUCGUGAGAUGUUGGGUUAAGUCCCGCAACGAGCGCAACCCUUGUGACUAGUUGCCAGCGCGUCAUGGCGGGAACUCUAGUCAGACUGCCCAGAUCAACUGGGAGGAAGGUGGGGACGACGUCAGGUCAGUAUGGCCCUUACGCCCAGGGCUGCACACGUACUACAAUGCCCAGUACAAUGGGAACCGAGGCCGCGAGGCGGAGGAAAUCCACAAAACUGGGCCCAGUUCGGAUUGGAGGCUGCAACUCGCCUCCAUGAAGUCGGAAUCGCUAGUAAUGGCGCAUCAGCUACGGCGCCGUGAAU
Molecule: ribosomal RNA, 1268 nt
Filed under: uncultured bacterium
Lineage: Bacteria
Description: partial 16S ribosomal RNA
Rfam family: Bacterial small subunit ribosomal RNA
Source: RNAcentral